AUGCCUCCGCCUCGCCGCGCGCUCCUCUCCUCCCUCCUCCGCCUCCGCGCCUGCUCCUCCCUUGCCCACCGCCCACCGCGGCCGCCGCCGCCCUCCUCGCGCCGCCACCAGUUCGUCGCCGACCCCAACGCCGCCGCCGGCACGGGACGAAGCAGCGUCGGCGGCAACCCCUUGGACCCCACCCAGCUCCUCCGCGACGACCCGGUGUCCAUCACCGCGUCGCUGUGGGUCUCCUCCUUCCGCGCCGCCGCGCCUGGCGACGCCGCUCCGCCGCCGCCGCCGACGCUGGCCCCCUUCCUCACUCGCCUCGAGCUCUGGGUGCUCGCCUACCAGAAGGCGUACGCGGACGAGACCGGCUCCUACCUACCCCGCUCCUCCAUCCCCGCCUCCACGCUCACCUCCAUCCUCACCCUCCGCAACGCCGUCAUCGACGCCCGCUUCCGCUUCGGCAACCGCCUCACACCCUACCUCCACUCCCCGCGCGCCGCGGCGUCCCCGGACCCCGCCACCCUCUCCAAGCGCAAGCUCCGCGCCCUCCUCACCACCCCGGGCCCGGCCCCCUUCCAGGACCGCGUCGUGCAAGAGCUGCUCCUGCUGCUGCUCGAGCCAGUGUAUGAGGCGCGGUUCUCGCCCAAGUCCUUCGCCUUCCGCCCUGGGCGAUCCCCGCAUGCCGCACUCCGUAGCAUCCGCAGGAGCUGGGCGCCCUACCUCUGGUACAUCAAGGGAGACCUCUCCCCGCUGCUUGAUUCCCCCGACCCUGCGCUCGUGGUCGGCGCACUCAUCCGUGAUGUGCGUGACAAGAAAGUCGUCGAUUUAGUCCGCUCGGCGCUGCUUACUCCAGUGGUGACCGCGAGGCCUGGUGAUGAUGAUGCAUCAAAGAAGAAGAAGAAGAGGAAGUACCAGAAAAAGAAGGUGCUGCCGGAAGGGGAGCCGAAGCCUGACCCCUACUGGUUGCAGACAUUCUUUGGGUUUGCACCAGAGGAGGCUCUGACUCAGCCUGAUUGGGGGCAUUGCGGGGUGCUGAGCCCGUUGCUCGCCAAUGUCUGUCUGGAUGAGUUUGAUAAAUGGAUGGAUGAGAAGAUUGAGGAGUUCUACAAGCCGUCCAAGUCGGAUGUUGUGGGAGGGGAGGAUGGCAUUGAGCAGGGGAAUACAUCAUGGCCGGAGUUUGUACCCACGAGCGGGCCUGACAAAACAAGGAAGGUGGACUAUAUUCGGUUUGGCGGGCAUUUCUUGAUUGGGGUGAGGGGGCCUAGGGCUGAUGCUGCAGUGAUCCGAAAGCAGCUCAUUGAAUUUUGUGAUCAGCGGUUCAGGAUCAAGCUUGACAAUGAGAGCCUCCCAAUUGAACACAUCACUAAAGGGAUCAUGUUUCUUGAUCAUGUGUUGUGUCGCCGUGUCGUGUACCCAACCCUCCGUUACACAGCCACUGGAGGUAAGAUCAUUAGCGAGAAGGGGGUUGGUACUCUGCUCUCGGUUACAGCCAGUUUGAAGCAGUGCAUCAGGCAGUUCCGGAAGCUAGAGUUUUUAAAGGGAGACCGUGAGCCAGACCCACAGCCAUGUUUCCGGAUGUUCCAUGCCACGCAAGCUCACACUAACUUGCAGAUGAAUAAGCUUUUAACGACGAUGGCAGAAUGGUAUCGCUACGCUGAUAACCGCAAAAAGGUUGUCAACUUUUGCUCGUACAUUAUAAGGGGGUCCUUGGCAAAGUUAUAUGCCGCCAAGUAUAAGCUGCGAUCAAGGGCAAAGGUUUAUAAGAUUGCAUCAAGGAAUCUUAGUCGACCAUUGAAGGAUAAGAAAGGGCAGUCACCAGAGUACACCAAUUUGCUGAGAAUGGGUCUUGUAGACUCAGUUGAUGGACUUCAGUAUACAAGGAUGUCAAUGGUUCCUGAUCCUGACUAUACACCAUUACCAAGCGGGUGGCGCCCGGACCACGAGAAGUUUUUGCUAGAAUAUAUAAAGCUCACAGAUCAACAAACACUGGAAGAGCAGCGGAGUUGCAUUAGAGAGGAGGGGCUUAUAACACCACAGGAUCACAUUUCAAUGCUUGUAUGGAGCUACAAGAAAAAUGCAGUUUUACUACCUUCUUCAAAAGAGAGUGAUGUCCAAGAAUCCAUAGAAGACCUUGGUUCAGAUACAGAUGAAUUGAAUAACAAGGAGCUAGGGCAUGGAGGCCAUCAGGGUUUUCCACAACCUACUGAAAUGUCUUGA
Molecule: ribosomal RNA, 2205 nt
Filed under: Triticum aestivum (bread wheat)
Lineage: Eukaryota; Viridiplantae; Streptophyta; Magnoliopsida; Poales; Poaceae
Description: partial small subunit ribosomal RNA
Source: RNAcentral